Molecule: ribosomal RNA, 468 nt
Filed under: uncultured bacterium
Lineage: Bacteria
Description: partial 16S ribosomal RNA
Rfam family: Bacterial small subunit ribosomal RNA
Source: RNAcentral
GACGAACGCUGGCGGCGUGCUUAACACAUGCAAGUCGAACGGAAAGGCCCUGCUUUUGUGGGGUGCUCGAGUGGCGAACGGGUGAGUAACACGUGAGUAACCUGCCCUUGACUUUGGGAUAGCUUCAGGAAACUGGGGCUAAUACCGGAUAGGAGCUCCUGCUGCAUGGUGGGGGUUGGAAAGUUUCGGCGGUUGGGGUUGGACUCGCGGCUUAUCAGCUUGUUGGUGGGGUAGUGGCUUACCAAGGCUUUGACGGGUAGCCGGCCUGAGAGGGUGACCGGCCACAUUGGGACUGAGAUACGGCCCAGACUCCUACGGGAGGCAGCAGUGGGGAAUAUUGCACAAUGGGCGGAAGCCUGAUGCAGCAACGCCGCGUGCGGGAUGACGGCCUUCGGGUUGUAAACCGCUUUCGCCUGUGACGAAGCGUGAGUGACGGUAAUGGGUAAAGAAGCACCGGCUAACUACGUG